GGGGGUGUGACUAGUUGGCCACCGCGGAGCACGGUUGGGCCCAGCUAAUUGCAAAGCUUGGUGUCAAGCUCUCCAGUAUCCCCGGGAUCACUGGCGCAAGAGCGUGACUCUAAGUGAGCUCCCUGCGUACUUAUGGUACUAGGAGGCGGGCAUCGUUCUCUUGUGAGAUAGGAGCUCUGUGUCUCAAUGAAGAAGGAGCUUCAUGGACAC
RNAcentral lists this unclassified non-coding RNA (210 nucleotides) under Hevea brasiliensis (rubber tree). Lineage: Eukaryota; Viridiplantae; Streptophyta; Magnoliopsida; Malpighiales; Euphorbiaceae. The record is from RNAcentral.